GCCCGGCUAGCUCAAUCGGUAGAGCGUGAGACUCUUAUGUGGAGUUCUCCGAACGUAUAAUCUCAAGGUUGUGGGUUCGACCCCCACGUCGGGCU
Cladorrhinum sp. PSN332 is the source of this 95-nucleotide non-coding RNA. Lineage: Eukaryota; Fungi; Ascomycota; Sordariomycetes; Sordariales; Podosporaceae. The record is from the annotation of a GenBank genome assembly.